GCCUGGUUGGCCGAGUGGUUAAGGCACUGUGGGGGCGUACCAACCCGGGCGUGUGCACCCAUAAGCGAGUGCCCCGAACCUUGGAAGGUGUUGGCGCGUCCUCCAGAGACCCCUGGUUCGAAUCCAGGAUCGGGCA
RNAcentral lists this transfer RNA (136 nucleotides) under Penicillium salamii. RNAcentral describes it as "tRNA-Undet". Lineage: Eukaryota; Fungi; Ascomycota; Eurotiomycetes; Eurotiales; Aspergillaceae. The record is from RNAcentral.